This 255-nucleotide ribosomal RNA is filed under the name Listeria monocytogenes. Its description in RNAcentral is "partial 23S ribosomal RNA". It matches the Rfam family "Bacterial large subunit ribosomal RNA", at positions 1607 to 1862 of the family's 2925-position model. Lineage: Bacteria; Bacillati; Bacillota; Bacilli; Caryophanales; Listeriaceae. The record is from RNAcentral.
GUCAAGAAAAGCCUCUAGGAAGAGAAGUACUGCCCGUACCGCAAACCGACACAGGUAGAUGAGGAGAGAAUCCUAAGGUGAGCGAGAGAACUCUCGUUAAGGAACUCGGCAAAAUGACCCCGUAACUGCGGGAGAAGGGGUGCUCUAUUAGGGUGCAAGCCCGAGAGAGCCGCAGUGAAUAGGCCCAGGCGACUGUUUAGCAAAAACACAGGUCUCUGCAAAACCGUAAGGUGACGUAUAGGGGCUGACGCCUGC